Long non-coding RNA from Peromyscus eremicus (cactus mouse), 812 nucleotides. RefSeq lists it as uncharacterized. NCBI's taxonomy places the organism in Eukaryota, Metazoa, Chordata, Mammalia, Rodentia, Cricetidae. The record is from RefSeq and is a predicted model, not a curated record. The transcript has 3 exons.
GGAAGCCGGUGGGGACUUUCGAAGCUGGAAGCUUAGUGUUACCUGGUCUGUUCAGUCAGCUGCAGAGCCUCGUGCACAGCCUCGGGAAAGAUCCUCCGUGCCGUUGCCCUCUACAGCUAGUGAAAGCCUGAACUCUCUACUUGGCAGUGCCACUCAAAACAACCUGCUGCUUCCUUCAGGACUCCUCCCAAGGCAGAGAAAUUAGCCAAACUACCUACCUGGGAGCAACUCCCUCCUACUCAUUGUCAGGCUUCCAGAAGAUGUGGCCCAGAGGUAAAGGUGCGUCCUCCCAAUUCAAGAUCUGGAUUAAAGAUGUGUGUCUUCCUACCUCAAAGAUCCUGGCUAGAAGUCAAUUCACCAACUUCAGACCAAGGGAAAAUCUCUCAUUGGUGUGCCCUCCACAUCUGGAUUGUAGUUCAUCCCCAAUGUAGUCAAGUUGACAGCCAAGAAUAACCAUCACAGCUGCUAAAAAAGUAAGUCAAGAGACAGAGGGAAGUGUGACGGCUCCUAACUGAGUGGAUAGAGAAUGAACAGAUGACAGUUGUCUUCCUGGUGAGGCCAAGAGGGCAUAGAAUGUGUGUGCCCUCCUUUGGCUCAGCCUAUCCUAAUGCAGAGAACCUAUAAUCCCUUAGCAGUUAAAUCAGCCUUUGUCCAGUGUCUAUAAAAAUGUAAGACAAACAAAACAAAAAACAAAAAUUCUUGGGUUUUCCCCCCUCUCUUAGGCACCCCUUCUCCUCUCAGGAGUUUCAAUUUUUCUCAAUUUCUCAGUUUUCUGUAGUUCUUAUUAAUAAACCUUGCUUCUGUCUUGCUUA